This 167-nucleotide ribosomal RNA is filed under the name Lentibacillus halodurans. Its description in RNAcentral is "16S rRNA. Bacterial SSU". It matches the Rfam family "Bacterial small subunit ribosomal RNA", at positions 1 to 148 of the family's 1533-position model. The record is from RNAcentral. Lineage: Bacteria; Bacillati; Bacillota; Bacilli; Caryophanales; Bacillaceae.
CUUUAUUGGAGAGUUUGAUCUUGGCUCAGGACGAACGCUGGCGGCGUGCCUAAUACAUGCAAGUCGAGCGCGGGAAGCAAACUGAAAUCUUCGGAUGGACGUUUGUGGAACGAGCGGCGGACGGGUGAGUAACACGUGGGCAACCUGCCUGUAAGACCGGGAUAACU